CAUGUCCUUUUGAUUAUAAUUUAAGGUCUAAUCUGCUCAAUGAUUAUUUAAAUUGCCGCGGUAUCUUAACCGUGCAAAGGUAGCAUAAUAAUUAGUUUUUUUAUUGAAAGCUGGAAUGAAUGAUUGGACGAGAAAAUAGCUGUCUCUUUAAAAAUUUUUAUUUAAUUUAACUUUUAAGUAAAAAGGCUUAAAUUUUUAUUAAAGACGAGAAGACCCUAUAGAGUUUUAUAUUUAAUUUGUAAUAAUUUAUUUGGAAUUUAUUUAAUUUUUUAUGUUUUAAUUAUUUGGUUGGGGUGACUAGAAGAUUAAUUAAACUCUUUUAAAUUUUUUAUCAUUGAUUUUUGAAUGUAUUAUCUAGAUUUUUUAAAUUUAAGAUUAAUUACCUUAGGGAUAACAGCGUAAUUUCUUUUUAGAGUUCUUAUUGAUAAGGAAGUUUGCGACCUCGAUGUUGGAUUAAAAUUUAUUUUUGGUGCAGAAGCUGAAUAAUUAAGUCUGUUCGACUUUUAAAAUUUUACAUGAUCUGAGU
This 526-nucleotide ribosomal RNA is filed under the name Agriotes acuminatus. Its description in RNAcentral is "partial 16S ribosomal RNA". The stretch from base 390 to 526 matches the Rfam family "Bacterial large subunit ribosomal RNA", at positions 2473 to 2610 of the family's 2925-position model. The record is from RNAcentral. Lineage: Eukaryota; Metazoa; Arthropoda; Insecta; Coleoptera; Elateridae.